This 471-nucleotide ribosomal RNA is filed under the name uncultured bacterium. RNAcentral's name for it is "bacterial SSU rRNA". It matches the Rfam family "Bacterial small subunit ribosomal RNA", at positions 28 to 481 of the family's 1533-position model. The record is from RNAcentral.
GAUGAACGCUGGCGGCGUGCCUAAUACAUGCAAGUCGAGCGAACAGACGAGGAGCUUGCUCCUCUGACGUUAGCGGCGGACGGGUGAGUAACACGUGGAUAACCUACCUAUAAGACUGGGAUAACUUCGGGAAACCGGAGCUAAUACCGGAUAACAUGUUGAACCGCAUGGUUCAACAGUGAAAGACGGUCUUGCUGUCACUUAUAGAUGGAUCCGCGCCGCAUUAGCUAGUUGGUAAGGUAACGGCUUACCAAGGCAACGAUGCGUAGCCGACCUGAGAGGGUGAUCGGCCACACUGGAACUGAGACACGGUCCAGACUCCUACGGGAGGCAGCAGUAGGGAAUCUUCCGCAAUGGGCGAAAGCCUGACGGAGCAACGCCGCGUGAGUGAAGAAGGUCUUCGGAUCGUAAAACUCUGUUAUUAGGGAAGAACAAAUGUGUAAGUAACUAUGCACGUCUUGACGGUACCUA